CGUGCUGCCAACUAGUUUGCUUUCCUUGCACUCAAACCAUCACCCAUCUUAUCACUACGGCCGAUAUAUAUAUAUAUAUAUAUUUAAGUUAAGGUUACACACUCACAUUUCUCCGCUUGUUUUAACUUCGUCUCAAUUUAGAUUUUUUUUAGGGCGUCAAUCUAGUUCUUGUGAUUCGCAUAUGUUACCUAGUACCAUUCCUGGCUAAUACCCAUUAAAAUACUAUUCCUAUGGUGCCUGUGUGGUUUAUAUCCAUGUGACACCUACAAAUUACAAUGAAGGCCAACUAUGCCUUGCAUUAAUGCAAAUUAACACUUAUUUUUUCUUCUCAAAUAAAAUUUUAUGAUAAAAGAAUAUAUAUAAAUGUUUUUCUCCUAGGCAUAUAAAAAUACUAUUAAUGAACAUUUAUUGUCAUAUAAUAAAAUUGUUUUUCACCAUAUGAAUUCUAUGCAAACAUAAUUUUGGUGAUAUUAGUUAAAAUUGUAACUAAGUGAUGACAAAUAAAAACCACAAUGAAAAGAAAAGGAAAAAAAAGAAAAAAGUCCCCCAAAGUCAACAAUGUCUAAACCACAUUGUAUGUUUUUGAACUAUUACCCUUAUUUAAUUAUCACAAUAAUGCCCAUUCAUUUUUGCACUCCCCUAGCAACACUAUCAUACUUGAAUUCUCAAUGCCACAGAGGAGAUAUUUGUGUGUGUGUGUGUG
Molecule: unclassified non-coding RNA, 703 nt
Filed under: Hevea brasiliensis (rubber tree)
Lineage: Eukaryota; Viridiplantae; Streptophyta; Magnoliopsida; Malpighiales; Euphorbiaceae
Source: RNAcentral